Molecule: long non-coding RNA, 489 nt
Organism: Lolium rigidum
Lineage: Eukaryota; Viridiplantae; Streptophyta; Magnoliopsida; Poales; Poaceae
Exons: 4
Source: RefSeq, a predicted model, not a curated record
UGUAGGUGCUCCUCCUAAACUUCGGAGAUAAAUUGCAGCCCGCGGCCUCUUCUACUGCACACCCAAGGGUGACAAGCUCCACUGACUAGCAUCUUAGAUGCCCCUCGGCCACAUCGUCGCGUGAGUAAGCUUCAACCGAAUAAAUCUAGAAGGGGAGCUGGCCAUGGAAUUCGGAAGGACAAAGACUCAAGAACAGAUAUUUUCAACGAAGAACCGCCAAAGCCUAAGGCAUGUUACAUUGGUACCCAAUAAAAAUUUGAUUACGUCAUACCAGAUAUGAGUGACUAAUCCAGUCAUCCAGAUGACUUCAAUGCAAAUAGAUAGUCUUUGUGAAGGGAGUUAGCAUACAAGGACGUGGGAGACAAAUAAAGGCAACUCGUGUGAAGGAAGCUUGGCCGAGCUGUGGCCAUGGUGGUGGUGUGCCUCUCUUCCCAGGCUGAUUUCAAGAGCACACAAAAUCUCUUUUGUAUUAGAUGCUUCUAUUUAACU